UCAGUGGUGGUUCAGUGGUAGAAUUUUUGCCUUCCAUGUGGGAGACCCAAGUUUAAUUCCUGGCCAAUGCA
Molecule: transfer RNA, 71 nt
Filed under: Loxodonta africana (African savanna elephant)
Lineage: Eukaryota; Metazoa; Chordata; Mammalia; Proboscidea; Elephantidae
Rfam family: tRNA
About the family: Transfer RNA (tRNA) molecules are approximately 80 nucleotides in length.
Source: Rfam by way of RNAcentral